AAUGGAAAUGCUGGUUCAUAUGGUAACUUUUAUGUUUAACAUUUUGAGGAACUGCUAAGCUGUUUCCCAAAGCAGCUGCAUCAUUUUGCACUCCCACAAAGCAAU
This 105-nucleotide microRNA precursor is filed under the name Marmota monax (woodchuck). Lineage: Eukaryota; Metazoa; Chordata; Mammalia; Rodentia; Sciuridae. The record is from RNAcentral.